CCUCUUUAUCUCAGAGAGAGUUACCCUGGCUGACCCAGAUGCUGUGUGCUUUCUUCUUGCAAAUCGUGUCUGAACCUGAAUGCCAGAUGAUUAGGCUACUCACUUGCCAAAUAGACUAUAAAACAGGAAGUUGAGAAUUAUUACAGCACCACAAAGAAAGGCAAGAGUUCACCUGGUGGCAGGGUAUCAUUUUUGUUCACCUGUAUGAAAAAUGUAUUUACUAUAAUACAGAGAGUGAUAAAAAGUUAUUGUUCUCCCUGGACUUACAUUCUAGACAGUUACAAGUCCUCAUCCGUCCAAAAUUCUAGAGGAAAGAAAUCUUUUCUCUAGAUUCUCAGUGGUCAUUUUGGUUGUUGUAGCUUCUAUGCUGUUUCUUAUUUGCUUUGAGGGGAUGCCCAGGGAACUGAGUGUGAGUGAGGAAAGCAGGGCUUGGUGACAUCAGGCACACCAUUCUAAAGGCAACAUUUUACAGAUUAAGUUAUUUUGUAACCAGUGUGAUAUCUGGUCACCUUAUAGAUGGUCAAAUUUGAAAUGAUUGUUCCAAAUCCUCUGUGAGAGCCUGAAAAAUAGACCUAAAGAAGCAACUUUCUAGAUGCUCAAUAUCUGUGCUUGAAAAGAGUGUCUAGUCUCCCCUUAUUGGGUGCAGUAUUUUGUAUAUAUGUCUAUUAGAUCUGUGCUGUUCAAUUUCAUAUGUCUCAGUUGUUGUAUUGCUUGAUAGAUCAUUUAUGAAAUGAGAUACAUCAGAAAUUUGUGACUGUGAUAGAGGAGUUGUCAGUUUCUCCUUGUGGUUAAGUACUUUUUGCUUUAUAUAUUUUGAUGCUGUAUUGUUAAGUGCAUACAAAUUGGGGAUUAUCUUUUCUUCCAGGUGAAUUGAAAUCUUCAUUGUAUUUUGUGAUCCUCUAUUAUUUCCAGUUGUGCUCAUUGCCUUAAAGUCUCACUGUCUGGUAUUAAUAGAGGUACAACCUAUUUCUUUUGUUAGUAUUUAUCUGGUAUUUGUUUUUUCUCCUUUUACUCUUUAGUUCUCUGUCCUUAUACUUCAGAAACAUUUCUCAUAAACAACAUUUGCUGGUUUCUUUAAAAGCACAUCUGAUGAUCACUUUUUUAAACUGGAGAGACUGCUCCAUAUCUUUGUUAAGAUUACGGAGACAUUUUAAGUUUUUAAUUAUUUUAUAGUAUACUUUAUAUCUGUCCCAAUUUUUCUGCUUCCUUUUUUUCUCCCUCCUUUGGGAUUUUUUUCCAUUUCAUUACAUUCUUCCCUCUAAUUUGAAUUUAUAAUAUCCAUGCUUCUGGGUUUAAUGAUUACCCUAGUAUUUUAACAUGAAUACUUAACCGUUCAAUAUUAAUAAUACUUUUCUUCUUUCCCCCAAAGACAAAAGCCUUUAAAAGGAAAGCAAAAACCAAAGUGUGCCUUUUGGAUUUGGAGGGAAUGUGAGAUCCCAGCCCUUGUUCUCGCUCAGGGGGCUGUCAGGGGCUGUGGAACUCUGUGUCCAUGAAGAGACCUCACACUUUGAUUUUUGUCCCUUAUCUCCUGCCGUGUCUUUUGGACCUGUUUUUUCGUUUGUUAGAUUUGGUCACUUAAAAAUAUAAAACUCGAGGAGUUCCCGUUGUGGCUUAGUGGUUAACAAACCCGACUAGCAUCCAUGAGGACACAGGUUCAAUCCCUGGCCUUGUUCAGUGAGUUAAGGAUCUGGCGUUGCUGUGAGCUGUGUUGUAGGUUGCAGACGUGGCUUGGAUCUGGCAUUGCUGUGGCUGUGGCAUAGGCUGGUGGCUACAGCUCCAAUUCGACCCCUAGUCUGGGAAAUGUCAUAUGCCUCAGGUUUAUGUUCUCUCAUCAUAUGGAAGUUAACCUCUCCCUGUCAUCCAGCUUCCACUGCCGUGCUUGUAAAGUCUGGCAGCAGCCCAGCUGCUGUUCCUUUUUUAGGUGAUCAACAUUUUCCCUGUCUGGCUGCCUGUAAGGUCCUCUCUUUGUCUUUGCUAGUCUGCAAUUUCAUAGUGAUUGUCUUUAGAAGUAGACACAUUCUUAUUUACUCCACUUGGGAUUAUUGGGCAUCCUGAAUCCAAAGAUUCACAUUUUUCACAAAUGUUGGAAAUUUUUCUUUUGUGUAUUUCCUGUUCCUCCUGCUGUCCAGGCUCUCUUACUAGAGCCAUUUAGGUCUCUGUCUGCUGGACCUGACUUUCCUCUGUAUCUGUUAGCUCCCUUUUAUAUUUUCCAUCUUUUUGUUUCUCUAGUCUUUAAUCUGGCUAAUUUCUCCAAAUCUCUCUUUACUCAUUCUUGUUCCACCUGUGUCUCAAUUUGAACCAGUAGACUGUUUUUUUUUUUAUUAUUAUUAUAUUCUUAUUCUUUUUUCCUUUGUCAAAAUUUCAAAAUUGGGAACUCCCAUUGUGGCUCCACAGUAAGGACCCCAACUAGCAUCCAUGAGGAUUUGGGUUCCAUCCCUAGCCCCGCUCAGUGGGUUAAGGAUCUGGCAUUGCCAUGAGCUGUGGUGUAGGUCUCAGAUGUGGCUCUGAUCCAGUGUUGCUGUGGCUGUGGCCUAAGCUGAUAGCUGCAGCUCCAGUUCGACCCCUAGCCUGGGAACUUUCAUAUGCUGCACGUGUGGCCCUAAAAAGAAAAAAAAAAUUCAAAAUUUCUCAAGUCCUUCUUUUUAAAUAAUUACUUGGAUGAUCCUUCUAAUACCUGGAAUCACCGUGACUCAGACUUUGCUCUUGAUUGCUUCUGCAAGUCCCCUUUCUCCUUGCACAUUUCAUGGAUUUUGAGUGGGUUCAUAUUCCUUGGAACUUGACCUGUCAGAACUUUUUUGAAGCUCGGGUUAAGGUUACUUUCCUCUAAAGAGGAUUUGUGUUUGUUCUGCUCUGCACCUGAGUCCUCUCGAGCUGGAACCACUUUAAAUUCUCUCUUACAGAUUUUAAACCACACAGAUGACAUUUGGGCGUAAGACCCAUGUGAAGACCAUCUUGUGAUGAGGACAGUUUGGGAGUAAUUAUUUUUCUCCCUUGGAUCAAAAAAGGCAAAUCUCUUCCAGUUCCUUCUGUGUGAUUCUUCUCCACUCUGUGUCAUGCCCAUCCACACUAAACAGAGCCCUCCUCUGGGACUGAGCUUUAUGCAAGGGUCUCCUGUUGGAUUCCCAGCAUGGCCAGGGUUGUCUCUUUCCUUCUGCCUCAUCCUACACAGCAUCCUUGCCAAGGUCGAGGUCACGGGGUUCACCUCCUGGGAGACCCUCACUUCAGCCCUGUUUACUCCCAGGACCCCUGCCUCCAUCUGUGCUUGGGCUGCGGCAGACUCCUGUUUUCCUAUCAGCUCAGCCAAUGAAUAGCUAGUUUCUGUGCUCUUAUCCUUCAUUCUUCGUUGACUCCAACAGAGGGUUGGCCCAGGGGUCUGGGAGUAGAACCAUAUACAAUUAAUCGAUGUUCCGUAUGGUGAAGGGCAAGGGUCUCCUGUGGAUGCCACCUCCUCUGUCCAGUUGCUCCACCCAGGGAUGGCAUGGAAAGGCCACAUCCUCCCACAUCCUUUGUCAUUCAACAUCCCCUGCAACCAGCACAUAGUGUGAGGGGCUAUGUGGAUACCAGCAGGUGUAGUUCUGGCAAAGGCUGGUGCUGCUGUCCCUCCAGGUGACAACUCCUGUGAAGGCCAGUGCUGCCCUUUUUGCCUCCAAGUGGAGCUGCCUGACCCUUAGAGGCACCCUGGACUUUGGAGGAGUCAAGUCCCAUAUCAUUCAGGCCAGUGAUCAAUGACUCUUGGCUCUUUGUCACCUGGCAGCCUGCUCCCAGGCAAGGCUAGUCUCCUGCCACACAGGCUCCUGGCAUCCUGUUUCCUCCCUUCAGCCCUAGGCUCUGAGGCAGGGACAGCCUAUAGCCUGCAGCUGCAUCUCACCCAUAGCCCGUCUUUGUAAAUAAAGUUUUAUUGGGAUACACAGCCAUGCCCAUUGUUUCACACCAUGAGGUCCCACCUACAGCAUUGAAAAUAUUUACUGUCUGUCCUUUUAGAGGAAGCAUUUGCUGGGCCUACUCUGAGGACACCCCCUCCCCCAGGCUGCCCACCUGUCUUUCAGCCCUGCCUAGAGCAUCCUGUAUCCAGAUGCUCCCUCCGUGUUGUUACCUGCACUCACAUCCGCGCCAGCUCCAGCUUCCCUGACGGCGCCUCCUUUGCUCAGCCUGAUCUGCAUCUGCCCUCUGGAAUGCUGGAAAUGCAUAUCCAGUGAGUGACCCACCCUGGGAAACCCUCACAUGGUGAAGUUAGACUCUGACAGUCUUCCUGCUCCAUUGGAACAUUUCAUCACCCAGGAGUAGGUCUUCAAUCUCAGACCUUUGGGGGAAGACAGGUAUUUUCGCUCCAUCUCUCUACAUAGUCAUAGCAAAUACACACUUCAAGCAGUGGACACAGUCUUGGAAAUAAGACAACAGACAUGCAAGGUGCUAUUUUAAUAAACUAAAUAGCACUACAUGGCAUGAGAGGAACUCUUCUAAAGAAAGCAAAAUGUUCAACAGUGGAGAAUUAAUUUAUACUGAAAACAAUCCCCCCCAAGCAUGUCUGUUUUGGCUCAUCUAUAGCUGAAAGGACACAGGCCAUUGAUAGUCUCAUGGCCAGGGGUGUGGACUGGGGAGCCAGACUGCUUGGUGGCAAUGCCUGCUCUGCCAGUGAUUGGUAACUGUGGGCAAGUCACCUGGUAUCUCUGUGCCUCGGUUUCCUCAACUGGUAAAGGGUUCAGAGGGUUACAAACAUGAUGAAAUGAGAUCAAACAUUAAAAAUCCCUAGAACACUGCCUGGAGCCUAGAGGCCUUCCCAUGUUAGCCAUGACCAUGCCAUUUAAUGUUUCUGACCUUGUGUUUCCUCAUCUAUAAGAGGGAAGUCACAAUAACAAACUUUUAUUUUGUUUGAGGAAUAACCAUGAUGGGUUUAAAGCACCCAAACAGGGCACACUAUAGAAGUCAAAUAAUUGGUGGAGAGAUGCCAUUUUCUGGGACUUCGUUAAUAUUGGUCCCAUAUCUUCUUUUCCCCACUAAAGCUAACUAUAGAUUCCUUCUUCAAAAGAAAUGGUUUCUAGAAACAUCCUCAGUGUGGUGGGGCUUCAGCAGCUGCUUUUGGCUUGUUCUAUUGCUAAUCAUUGCAUGAAAAGCCCAGAGAGCUGUGUGUUCUCUUGUCUAGUGACUCUGCUUGUCCAAGACUCAGCCACCACCUCCAGGAAGCCACCCCUGAUGCCUAAACCCCACCAUCUUGGUGCUUCUGUUACAUCACGUGAUGACUUUGCAGAGACAGGGACAGAGUUAUUCAUCUGUAUAUCUGUUGUGACUGGCAGACCGUGUUCCAACAAGUACUAAAGACCUACCACUUAGGUGCACAAAAGAAACUGACAAAUAAAUGGAUGCCAAUUAAAAUUUCUUUGAGAAUACACAAUGACUCUACCUAUCUUAAGAAUUAUGGGAGUUCCCUGGUGGCUAAGUGGGUGAAGGAUCCAUUGUUGUCACUGCUGUGGCACAGGUUCGAUCCCUGGCCUGGGAACUUCUACAUGCUG
Molecule: long non-coding RNA, 5507 nt
Filed under: Sus scrofa (pig)
Lineage: Eukaryota; Metazoa; Chordata; Mammalia; Artiodactyla; Suidae
Description: lncRNA (ENSSSCG00055005836.1)
Source: RNAcentral